CAACCCCCCCCCCCCAGCUGAGUGGAGGAGUUGAUAUGUCUCAUUAUAACAGCCAAUGCAGCCGCCAUCCACGCACAAGCAAAGAAGCAUGUCCCAUUUAAAUACACCCACGCAGCCCCAGCGCCCUUAGCCGAUCAGGGCGCGCAGCCCACACGCACCGCGGCUCCGGGCUUGGAGAUCCGCGCAGGUCGGGCUCCGGGAUCCCGCGGAUCGACACUCUCGGAAGAUCGGGAUCGCACUCUGGUUGGGGCCCGGGUGGGCGGGGGAGGCUGGGCCCCGGGCCUCUCUGGCGGACAGCCGCAUGAGGACGCGAGCGACAUAGACCAGGGUGGAAUUGCCAAGGCAGACGCUUCGGGCUGGUUUUGGUCUAUUUCUCCCGCGAAGAGUCGACAUGGCGAGCGACUCCCCAGCUCGCAGCCUGGAUGAAAUCGAUCUCUCCGCCCUGAGGGACCCUGCAGGGAUCUUUGAGUUGGUGGAACUUGUCGGAAAUGGGACGUAUGGUCAAGUGUAUAAGGGACGUCAUGUCAAAACAGGACAGCUUGCAGCCAUUAAGGUUAUGGAUGUCACAGGGGAUGAAGAGGAAGAAAUCAAACAAGAAAUUAACAUGUUGAAGAAAUAUUCUCAUCACAGGAACAUUGCAACAUACUACGGUGCUUUCAUCAAGAAGAACCCUCCAGGCAUGGAUGACCAACUAUGGUUGGUGAUGGAGUUCUGUGGUGCUGGCUCAGUCACGGACCUGAUCAAAAACACGAAAGGCAACACGCUGAAAGAAGAGUGGAUUGCAUACAUCUGCAGGGAGAUCUUACGGGGCCUGAGUCACCUGCACCAGCACAAAGUGAUUCACCGAGAUAUUAAAGGGCAGAACGUCUUGCUGACUGAAAAUGCAGAGGUUAAGCUAGUGGACUUUGGAGUGAGUGCCCAACUUGACCGAACAGUGGGCAGGCGGAACACAUUCAUUGGGACCCCCUACUGGAUGGCACCAGAAGUCAUUGCCUGUGAUGAGAACCCAGAUGCCACAUAUGAUUUCAAGAGUGACUUGUGGUCCUUGGGAAUCACAGCCAUUGAGAUGGCAGAAGGUGCACCCCCCCUCUGUGACAUGCAUCCCAUGAGAGCCCUCUUCCUCAUUCCCCGGAACCCAGCACCUCGCCUCAAGUCUAAGAAGUGGUCAAAAAAAUUCCAGUCAUUUAUUGAGAGCUGCCUGGUGAAGAAUCAUGGCCAGAGGCCAGCCACAGAGCAACUGAUGAAGCACCCAUUCAUACGAGACCAGCCUAACGAGAGGCAGGUCCGCAUUCAGCUCAAGGACCAUAUCGACAGGACAAAGAAGAAGCGAGGGGAGAAGGAUGAGACUGAGUAUGAAUACAGUGGAAGUGAGGAGGAAGAGGAAGAGAAUGAUUCCGGGGAACCCAGCUCCAUUCUGAACUUACCAGGGGAGUCAACACUGCGGCGAGACUUCCUGAGACUGCAGCUGGCCAACAAGGAACGCUCAGAGGCUCUGCGGCGACAACAGCUGGAGCAGCAGCAGAGGGAGAAUGAAGAACACAAGAGGCAGCUACUGGCUGAGCGUCAGAAGCGCAUUGAGGAGCAGAAAGAGCAGAGGAGGAGGCUGGAGGAGCAACAAAGGCGUGAGAAGGAGCUCCGGAAGCAGCAGGAACGGGAACAGCGCCGGCACUAUGAAGAGCAGAUGCGCAGGGAGGAGGAGAGGAGGCGUGCAGAGCAUGAACAGGAAUACAUCAGGCGACAGUUAGAGGAAGAGCAAAGACAGUUAGAGAUCUUACAGCAGCAGCUACUGCAUGAACAAGCUCUACUUCUGGAAUAUAAGCGCAAACAACUGGAAGAACAGAGGCAAGCAGAAAGACUUCAGCGGCAGCUAAAGCAAGAGAGAGACUACCUUGUUUCCCUCCAGCAUCAGCGACAGGAGCAGAGGCCCCUGGAGAAGAAGCCACUGUACCAUUACAAGGAGGGCAUGAGCCCCAGUGAGAAGCCAGCAUGGGCCAAAGAGGUAGAAGAGCGCUCAAGACUAAACCGACAGAGUUCACCUGCCAUGCCUCACAAGGUUGCCAACAGGAUCUCUGACCCCAACCUGCCCCCAAGAUCGGAGUCCUUCAGCAUUAGUGGGGUUCAGCCUGCUCGGACACCGCCAAUGCUCAGACCUGUUGACCCCCAGAUCCCACAGCUGGUAGCUGUCAAAUCCCAAGGACCUGCUUUGACGGUCUCCCAGUCAGUGCAUGAGCAACCCACAAAGGGCCUGUCUGGGUUCCAGGAGGCUCUGAACGUGACCUCUCACAGGGUUGAGAUGCCACGCCAGAACUCGGAUCCCACCUCGGAAAAUCCUCCUCUCCCCACUCGCAUUGAAAAGUUUGACCGAAGCUCUUGGUUACGACAGGAAGAAGAUAUUCCACCAAAGGUGCCUCAAAGAACAACUUCUAUAUCCCCAGCAUUAGCCAGGAAGAAUUCCCCUGGGAAUGGCAGUGCUCUGGGCCCCAGACUCGGAUCUCAACCUAUCAGAGCAAGCAAUCCUGACCUCCGCAGAACAGAGCCUGUCCUGGAGAGUCCAUUGCAGAGGACCAGCAGUGGCAGUUCCUCCAGCUCCAGCACUCCCAGCUCCCAGCCCAGCUCCCAAGGAGGCUCUCAGCCUGGGUCACAAGCAGGGUCUAGUGAACGAACCAGAGUUCGGGCCAACAGUAAGUCUGAAGGAUCACCUGUGCUCCCUCAUGAGCCUUCCAAGGUGAAACCUGAGGAAUCUUCUAGAGACAUCACCCGGCCUAGUCGACCAGCUAGCUAUAAAAAAGCUAUAGAUGAGGAUCUGACGGCAUUAGCUAAAGAAUUACGAGAACUCCGGAUUGAAGAAACAAAUCGCCCAAUGAAGAAAGUGACUGAUUACUCCUCCUCCAGUGAGGAAUCAGAGAGUAGUGAGGAAGAAGAAGAAGAAGAUGGGGAGAGUGAGACACAUGAUGGGACAGUGGCUGUCAGCGACAUCCCCAGACUAAUACCAACAGGAGCUCCAGGGAGCAACGAGCAGUACAAUGUGGGAAUGGUCGGGACACAUGGGCUGGAGACUUCACAUGCGGACACCUUCGGCAGCAGUAUUUCCAGAGAAGGAACCUUGAUGAUCAGAGAGACAGCUGAAGAGAAGAAGAGGGCCGGCCACAGUGACAGUAAUGGCUUUGCAGGUCACAUCAACCUCCCAGACCUUGUGCAGCAGAGCCAUUCCCCAGCUGGAACUCCCACCGAGGGACUAGGUCGUGUCUCCACCCAUUCCCAGGAGAUGGACUCUGGGACAGAAUAUGGUAUGGGAAGCAGCACCAAAGCCUCCUUCACCCCCUUCGUGGACCCCAGAGUGUACCAGACAUCUCCCACUGAUGAAGAUGAAGAAGAUGACGAGUCAUCUGCUGCAGCCCUGUUUACUAGUGAACUCCUUAGGCAAGAACAGGCUAAACUCAAUGAAGCCAGGAAGAUUUCAGUGGUGAAUGUGAACCCAACAAACAUCCGCCCUCAUAGUGAUACGCCCGAAAUUAGAAAAUACAAGAAACGCUUCAAUUCCGAAAUACUUUGUGCAGCUCUGUGGGGUGUAAACCUUCUCGUGGGAACUGAAAAUGGCCUGAUGCUUUUAGACAGAAGCGGCCAAGGCAAAGUCUACAACCUGAUCAACCGGAGGCGGUUCCAGCAGAUGGACGUGCUAGAAGGACUAAAUGUCCUUGUGACAAUAUCAGGAAAGAAGAAUAAGCUGCGUGUUUACUAUCUCUCAUGGUUAAGAAACAGAAUACUGCACAAUGACCCCGAAGUGGAAAAGAAACAGGGCUGGAUCACAGUUGGGGACUUGGAAGGAUGUAUACAUUACAAAGUUGUUAAAUAUGAGAGGAUCAAGUUCUUGGUGAUUGCCUUAAAGAAUGCAGUGGAGAUAUAUGCUUGGGCCCCAAAACCUUACCACAAGUUCAUGGCAUUUAAGUCUUUUGCAGAUCUUCAGCAUAAGCCUCUGCUUGUUGACCUCACAGUAGAAGAAGGUCAAAGGUUAAAGGUCAUUUUUGGCUCACACACUGGUUUCCAUGUAAUUGAUGUUGAUUCUGGAAACUCCUAUGAUAUCUACAUACCAUCCCAUAUUCAGGGCAAUAUCACUCCUCAUGCUAUUGUCAUCUUGCCCAAAACGGAUGGAAUGGAAAUGCUUGUCUGCUAUGAGGAUGAGGGGGUGUAUGUGAACACCUAUGGCCGGAUCACAAAGGAUGUGGUUCUCCAGUGGGGAGAAAUGCCCACAUCUGUGGCCUACAUUCAUUCCAAUCAGAUAAUGGGCUGGGGCGAGAAAGCUAUUGAGAUCCGGUCAGUGGAAACAGGACAUUUGGAUGGAGUAUUUAUGCAUAAGCGAGCUCAAAGGUUAAAGUUUCUAUGUGAAAGAAAUGAUAAGGUAAAUCCGUUUCAACUUUGCUUUAGUGUUUGCAUUUUAAGAGACCACCAGGUACCUGUGAAACCUUCAUUUUCCUUUAUACUGAUGAGUCACAUCUGUGUUAAGAGAUCAAAACUAUCUUGAAAUGGCAUCACUUGGUUUGAUUCAUGUGAACAUUCAGAAUCUAUGACUCAUGCAUCCAAGCUAACAUAAAACAUCUAAAACUUUCUUGUAGACUCUUUGUAACUUUUGUGGCCUGUGGCCCUUCUGGUGAUUAACAACCAUCGCAGACCCUCCUAUGCACUCAGAGUAGCUGGCCCAUCAUUAAUCAUCCCACAGUGGGUCAGCCUUAUGUUUUCACUUUUAGGCCUUUCAUGGGGACACUACUGGGACUUAGCUUUCAUAAUAUAUUUACCCUUUAGUGUAAAACAUUGGACAUGUAGGAAACGAACUUCUAAAAAAUGUCACUCAUUCCUAAGAAAAAUAGUCACAAACUCAACUUCUGCCAUGUCCUGUCUCAUUCCAGCCAUGUGUCUCCAGACAUGUCACAGUGGGGCUACAUUCUAAGACAAGUGACCAUGUCUGUCCAGCAUGAUCAGUCACCCCAUAAGAGUACACUGAAGUGGUCAUGCUCUACCUCACCCUCCCUCUAAGAUGAGUCAGCCUGACAACCAUGUCCCCAAAGCAGCAGAUAUGAAUGCUGUAGGAAAGAAUGUGAUGGGUUGAACUGUUUACAUCUCUUUGUUCACCCCAGUUCCCCUGAAUCCAGAUUGGCCUUUAUCCAACCCUGGUAAUAUGGGCCUGGAUUCUUUGAUUCUGGCUAACUGCUUCUGACCUAAUAUGGUCUAGUGGACAGCAGCUGUGGGAGACAAGGAUGGUUACCAGGGGACUUAUCAGACCAUGUCACACACCAGACUUGACAAGUAAGACUCAACACUUUUACAGGCCUAGAACCUAAGAUGUGAAAUGCCUGGGUGUGGACAAGUACGCUGUGGUUCUUGACAAGGUACUCCAGCAGGCCUGGGCCAGCCCAUACUCCCAGGCUUGAGCCUAUAGUUUAGUCCCUGAACCCACAGCUGGGAACAACAGCAACCCUUUCUUCUCAGCAAACUCUCACUGUCCUCCCCAAUUCGAUUCUCUGGCCUCUUAGAGUAGCUGUGCUUUCCUCUGUAGCAUUAGGUAAUUCCACAAGUUUCUUAAGGAGCCGUAGGAACAAGUAGCGCUGGUGGCACACGCAUUCCUCAGACCACAGACACAGGCUGACUGAAGGACCAUUUCACAGCCCCAAACAAUAUUUUCCUGGGGCAGUGGUUCACUGACAUUCGGCUCAAGCAAGCAGUAAUCUAAAUCUGCUCACUUCUCCCAGGCCUUUGACAAAAUGAAUGAACUGGUUCAGACCUAAUAUUGACUGUGGUUCUGCUUAUUAAUGCCAUUAUCUCCUUCAGCUUGGGAUCUGCCAGCAUCAGCAUAGAGGUCACACGUCAACCCUGAAGCACCAGACUGGAUAGGCCUUAGCCGUCAACCAUAGCCACUCAAAUAUCUUUGUUUUAAGUUUAAAAACCAAACAUUGAAGUUGUACAAACUGCCAAAUUUUGCCCCCAACUUUGGGAAUUUAAAGGGAUUCUCUUUCAUCUGCCUCCAUGUCACUUGCAAGGGAGAGAAAGUUUGUCCCUGUACCUUUGUAGAAAUCAUCACUGUGCCAGGCCGGGAGUCGAGCAAUAAAUUAAAAAAAAAAAAAAAUGUUAGAAAACAUAAUGGCAACAUAGACAGUGCACUGUCUCAAAAGUCAUUAUAAACACAGGCCACAGAAACUUAACUGGCAUGUGGCAAGAAUAGGACAUGUGAGAGAAAAUGGCUGGACAGUUGAAGAAGAGAAGGGGGAAAACAACCCAUGAAGUUGAACUAACUUGUUUUUAAUUCCAAACAGGUCUUUUUCGCAUCCGUGCGAUCUGGAGGAAGUAGCCAAGUGUUUUUCAUGACCCUCAACAGAAAUUCCAUGAUGAACUGGUGACAGAAGAGCACUUGGCACUUAUCUUCAUGGCGUUAUUUCUAAUGCACAAAGCCUCCCCGCACAGAGGUCCCUUCAUUUGGAUUUGUUAGGGUUGAGAAUGGUUGAGAUCCUUCCUGCAGCUGAGGUUACAUGACAACCAUGCUCUGGAACACCAGCCCAAGGGUGCCACUUUGUCAAGAUUUUAAACUGUGACAAAGAAGAAUCACUAAGAAAUAUUUCUGAGCUGCUGUGUCCUCACUGGGUCAAGAGACUAGACUCCUAAGCCUGCACAGACACUGCAGGCUCCAACAGCUCAGGUCUUAGGGAACCUGAAGGCAAGGCUUUGGCCAAAAUUCUGAGAUCCUAAUCAUGUUAUGUUCCUCACAACUUCCCAACAUACUGUUAGCAACAUCUGUGCAGAGGUGUGUGUGUAUUUAGUUCAGGUUGACUUGUGUCUAUAAAACCCUUACUCGAAUGAUUUGAACUUUUAUGUGACUGGCUGGGAUUUUUCCCAAAGCUGUAAGCAUGGCCGCCUAUGGUAUCCAGGUGUUGCGAAAUGGUAUCUGUGCUGUGCUUCCUGUUUUAACCUACCUCGUUUUGUUUGUUUAUGUUUCUCUGUUCGUCACAGCAGUGUUAUCUCCAGGAGACAUAUAGAGAGCUAAAUUCGGCAAUCUCAGCUAUAUUAAAUAUUUUCAAAACAGUAGUUCACCAAAUUGUUCUUUAAAAAUUGGAGGGAGAAAAAAAAACUUCAAUGACAGUCUAAUGAGGUUCGGUUUUAAAGAAUGCAAUUACUGUAAAUGGAUCAAAAAAGAAAAACAAAAACUGUGAUCCUACUGACUUUGCCUAAGCAAAUGAGCAGCUAAUGUACUAUUAAUGAGAACGAAACACAUACUAGGAAAAUGGUUUGGCCAAAGGGGAUGAGAAAGGGAAAUAUUCCGAGACAGGUGAUGGCUAAAGGGGAUGAGAAAGGGAAAUAUUCCAAGAUGGGUGAUGGUCAUUUGCAGUUAUCUGAAGCAGGUAACACUAGGAAUGAAUUGAGGGUGGUCUUCAGGUGAUUACCAGAUGAGCCCUCUAGUUCUCAAAAGCAAUGAAAUCCUCCCGUUCUCAUUUUUACUGCUGGAGUUAUGCUGCUGAUCGACACUGUCUUCGCAAAUUCCAUGGGACAAAUUCAGCAACUACUGGAAUUGGAUGCUGAUAUGGAUUUGGAUCUUGUCUCCAAAUGUGAUUGCCACCAGCUCUUUAUAUUGCUGCUGUGACAGUUUGAACCAGAGGCUUCUUUAAAUUAUGUUGCAAACUGAUCUUUGUUUUUAUGUUUUGUUUUGUUUCAUCCUUAUUUCUAAGUGAUACAUCCGAAACACACAGCUUUAAAUGAUUUUUUAUUGUGGGACUUUGGGUACAGUUAAGAAAUAAAAGGGAAUCAUUGUGUUUAAACAUAAGGUAGUUUGUGAAUGUAUUUUUUAAAAUCUAGAUUCAUUGGAACAAAAAAAAACAUAAGAAAACAUAUUAAUGCCGUCUUGUUUACAGUAUGUACAGUGACAUAACAUAACAUGAGCUUUUUCUGGUGCCAACAAAACAAAAUAAAACACAGACGUUAAACAUCAA
RNA transcript from Phodopus roborovskii (desert hamster), 7967 nucleotides. It is a transcript of the gene named TRAF2 and NCK interacting kinase, with no coding region annotated. Lineage: Eukaryota; Metazoa; Chordata; Mammalia; Rodentia; Cricetidae. The transcript is spliced from 33 exons. The record is from RefSeq and is a predicted model, not a curated record.